GACGAACCGAGCGAACGUUAUUCGGAAUCACUGGGCUUAAAGGGCGCGUAGGCGGGCGAUCAAGUCAGGGGUGAAAGCCCCCAGCUCAGCUGGGGAAGUGCCUCUGAUACUGGUCAUCUCGAGGGAGGUAGGGGCGUGCGGAACUUCCGGUGGAGCGGUGAAAUGCGUAGAUAUCGGAAGGAACGCCGGUGGCGAAAGCGGCGUACUGGACCUCUUCUGACGCUGAGGCGCGAAAGCUAGGGGAGCAAACGGG
This 253-nucleotide ribosomal RNA is filed under the name uncultured bacterium. Its description in RNAcentral is "partial 16S ribosomal RNA". It matches the Rfam family "Bacterial small subunit ribosomal RNA", at positions 524 to 776 of the family's 1533-position model. The record is from RNAcentral.